Ictidomys tridecemlineatus (thirteen-lined ground squirrel) is the source of this 72-nucleotide non-coding RNA. Lineage: Eukaryota; Metazoa; Chordata; Mammalia; Rodentia; Sciuridae. The record is from Rfam.
UGGGGUGUGGCUCAGUGGUAGAGUGCUUGUCUCCCAUAUGUGAGGCACUGGGUUUGAUCCUCAGCACCACAU